RNAcentral lists this long non-coding RNA (2791 nucleotides) under Triticum aestivum (bread wheat). RNAcentral describes it as "long non-coding RNA (TAES_LNC015310)". The record is from RNAcentral. Lineage: Eukaryota; Viridiplantae; Streptophyta; Magnoliopsida; Poales; Poaceae.
UGAUUUUAUUCAGUUUAUUCAGAGGACAUACAUACGUACAAGUAGUUCCCUAAGGCGAAGGCCUUCCAUUUGCUGUUGCUGGCCAUGUAAAAUAGCAUGAACCUGAACCUAACUGCGAUUGGAUGUCUAAACUGAAUUGUUGCAUUCCUAGACAUGGAAAUGUGGAUCAGUUUUAGUUCUGAAGAAUGUGCAUACUUCUGGUCCUAUGUAAUUCCAAUUUAUUUAGACAAGCAUGCCAAAAGUGUUGAAACCCAAGUUAGGGUUCAAAUUCGUGGGGUUGUGCUUGCUGCUAAACUGAUCCUGGACUUUUUGUUGGCUAUAUUAUAAUUAGCAAAUGGAAGUGGAGAGAUAAAGCAUAAAUACUUGAUAAACUUUUUUUGUUGGGGCGGGGGAUGGUUUAGUCCAUAGUUAAAAAAGGCACGCCUAAGCGAGCGCUUAAGCGCGCCUAGGCUCUAGGCGUUGACAAAACGCAUUGCGCAUAACUACGCUUAAUCUGUGCAUAACUGCGCAUAGGUUGCAAAACGCACAAUUAACACCUAGCGCUUUUUUUAAAUAUGGUUUAGGCACUUCAUGCAUUGUUGGUGUUGCAGACUUUUGCACUGCUACUAAAUGUCCUAUAUGUUAUUCUUUAGUAGGGAUAUUGGCAUAGAGAUACCGCAAUAAUAAAAACGAGAAUCCUCAUUACUCACAUAUAUAUUACUAUGUCCUUUUGUUUCCAUUGAGACCUAUUUUGUUUAUUCUUUUAGUUCCAAGGCAAAAUUCUCUGAUUUUUAGUAAUUCACAUUUAACAAGACAUAUGAAUGGAGGAUGGGAGGCAUUUAGAUGCAAGUCAGAAACUUCUUCUGCUAGCUUAUUCUAAGUUUAUUAUUUCCUUGCUCCCCUUUUCAUUGUAGAGAAUGAAAAGCAUCUUUCACGCUGCCAACGGGAUCUGGACCAAGAAGAGGAUCAGGAGGACGAAUACAGUGGACACUACUACUCAGCAAGAUACAGUUCAAACCCUGUAUCCUCCUGAUUGAUCUCCCUUCGCCCCUGUUUAAGAAUCAUGUUUCACCCAUUCAGGUAAAUCUAGCUGAAACAUUUUACGAACUCUACAAGUUGAAAGUUCAUACUUUUAGACGAGUAUACCAUUUUGGAGGUGUGUGUGUCAGUUCGCCGAUUAUUGACACCUCAUUCUAUGAAUUUUAGUGUUGUCUUCAGAAUUAUAGACACCUCAUUCUAUAAGGAGGCUGCCACCAAGAAGAGCGAGGUUGUGUCAAUGGACUCAGGUGCGUGCACUCGUUGGUGGUUUCAGUCUCAUAAUCUUUUCUUUCCAGUUGAAGAACAGGCGGUGGAUAUCUGUUACUCCAUUCCGUCUUUCCUGGUCUGUACAUUUUGAGAAGAUUGCAUACAUUGUAUUGAUGUGUCUUUUGUGUGAAACUUUGACUUAUUGGUCAACAAUAUAUGAGUUAUACGUCAUCAAAAAAUAUAUCAUUGGAAAGUUCAUUGAAAUACGCAUCCAAUGGCAUACUCUUUGUGGCGUAUAACUCACAUUUUGUUGGUAAAAUCAAUGCUCAAAGUUAUUUUCGGUCACAAAACAUUGAUAAAACUAUAAAUCACAUUUUAAUUCUUGUUGCGAUUACACCUAUUAGUUGCAGUUCAUAAGUUGUGUUGACUUGACUGCUGAUUUCUUUUCUUCUAUUAUUUUCCUUUAUGAACCUGGUGGCCAGCGACAAGUUGUAGAAAGAAACAAGGCUUAUGUUAGGCAAAGUUGAUUAGGUUGUACUACACACCGAGUGCCUCCAUAAGAAUCUAGAUAAAAUGCCAUAAAAGGUGAGAUUGGGCAUAGUCUUGAUAUAGUUUCGUUAAAAGAUAUUACAUUGAUUUUUUGGGUUUGGACAUACUUAUGAUUGUUUUCUUUCUAACUGGAUCUCAAUAUAUGCUUUUGUAGACUGUUCUAGAUAAGAUGAUGGCUAUCAAUGUGAGCGACUGAGCUUUUAUGUCCAGAAAAUGCUCACUAAUAAAAUCUGGAAUGUCUUAUGUUUCUCAUCUUUUCUCUUCAUUUGUAUGGUUAAAGUUUGGCUUCAAACCAACAAAUAGUUAAUAUUAAAUUAAGUUAUUUUCCCGCUCCCCUCUUCAGUUGGCAAACCCAUCAAGGAAUUGUUGUAAUGAAUAUAUUUUAUAUGGUUACAUCCACAAGAGGAAGAGAUCUUAAAUGCUAUAGCAUACAUCUAUAUUGAUGUAUAUGAGUGAGAGCGAGGACCGAGUAUGGGAAUCACUAGUAGAAAAAGGGGCUUUUAUCCCGGUUGGUAAGGCCCCUUUAGUCCCGGUUUUCGAACCGAGAUUAAAGGGUCGGUACUAAUGCCUCUCCCCUUUAGUCCCGGUUCUUAUAUGAACCGGGACUAAAGGGCGCGGCCACGUGGAGCUCCACCUUUAGUCCUGGUUGGUAAUUUUAUGAUUUUUUUGAAUUUUUUUUGAAUUUUCAAAUUUCUGAAUUAUUUUAACCUCUAGUGUGUAAUCACCACCUCUCAUCACUGCUCAAUUUAUCCUCUAAUCACCCCUCAUCAUUUCAAAUCAUCUAACUUCCCGAACGGUUACCCAUCCUCCCACUCCUCCAGCCUGAGCAUGCUUAACUUCCGGGUUCUAUUCUCUCUCGUUUCCAAGUCUGCACUUGUUGUUUUCCUGACAAUAGUAAGAUGUCAAUCCUAUUAACCUUCAUGAAUUUUGCUUGAGCAUGAAGUGACACAUUUCACUGUUUGAGUUUGAAACUAUUGUUUUAAAAAACAAUAAUUAUUUAGUAACACUAAUAUUUCUU